This is a non-coding RNA of Camponotus floridanus (Florida carpenter ant), 194 nucleotides long. Lineage: Eukaryota; Metazoa; Arthropoda; Insecta; Hymenoptera; Formicidae. The record is from Rfam.
AUCGCUUCUCGGCUCUUUGAGCUAAGAUCAAAAGUGUAGUAUCUGUUCUUAUCAGCUUAAUAUCUGAUACAAUCCCCAUAGGGGAUUCAGAAUAUUAAACUGCUUUUUGAAACCAGGCAGAUUUGUGGAGCUUGCUCCGAUUCUGCCACGGGUCGACCCGGCAUUGCAGUAAAGCUGGGACCGGCCUAAUAAAU